CGCAAAAGCAGAACAGAAACACAAAAACUGAAAAAAGAGAGAACUGAGAAGAGAAACGGCAACGCGCGCGACAGACCUCCUCCACUCUCCAGCCGGCGACAGAGCUCUCUCCACUAGUCUUCGCCAUCAGUGUAUUCAAAUUUGAAAUGGAAAGAGAAACAUUGGAGGAUGAAAUGAGAUUGGAAAAUGAAGGGAUUUCAGACACACCUCCACAACCACAAGAUUUACAAUCACAAAGGCCAAAGAGGAAAGAAACGUGUAAAAGAUCAAGAAUCUGGGACCACUUCAAUUCUUACACUGAUAGCGAGGGAAAGCCUAGAGCUAAAUGUAAGUAUUGCGAACGAAAUUAUGAUGCUGAUCCAUCUAGAAUGGUACUUCUAUGAUGAAUAAUUACCUGAAAGCAUGCAAAAAAAACCCACAUAACGCUGUUGUUGCAUCAAAUCAAACAAUAACUAAUUUUUGUCAGAGUAUAACUGGGGAUGCUAAUGAUGGAGAAGCUUCUUCUCAUUCGAAAUUUGAUCAAGAAGCUAUUAGGCAAGUCUUAGCUCGCAUGGUCAUCAUCGAUGAAUUGCCAUUUAAAUUUGUGGAAAAUAAGGGAUUUAGGCAAUUUAUAUAUCUUGCACUUCCACAGUUUAUUGUCCCGUCUAGAAUCACUAUAACCAGAAAUUGUUAUAAGUUAUUCUUCGAUGAAAAAAGAAAGACUGAUGAAUUAUUUUAAGUCUUCCGGACAAAGAGUUUUCUUAACAACGGACACAUGGAUUUCUGAUCAGAAACUCACCUAUAUGUGUUUGACUGCCAUUACAUUGAUUUUGACUAGAAAAUGCAUAAGGUCAUUCUUAAUUUCAUUUCAUGUCCUACUCAUAGAGGUGAUGAUGUGGGUUUGUUGAUUGGAAAAUAUAUGUUGGAUUGGGGUAUUGAUAAAGUUUUUGCUGUAACUGUGGACAAUGCUUCUUCUAACGAUACAACUGCUACUUAUUUGAGAAGAAGGUUUGUUAAUUGGGGGACUGCCAUACUUGAUGGAAAAUAUUUGCAUAUGAGAUGUGUGACUCAUAUUAUUAAUCUUAUUUUCAAGAAUGGUUUGAAAGAAUUGAAUGAUUCCAUUGAGCAUAUACGAAAAGUUGUUAGGUAUGUUCGUUAAUCACUAGCUAGGACAAAAAAAAUUUAAUGAUUAUACUGUUGAGGAGAAGGUUCAAAGCAAAACAGUAUUGUGCUUAGAUGUACCUACAAGAUGGAAUUCAGUUUAUACGAUACUAGAUACUACUUUAAUUUUUCAAGGUGCGUUUGAUAGAUAUGAAACAUAUGAUGCUGAUUUUCGUAAUGAUUUCAUGCUUGGUGGGUGUUAUGGUAAGAUUAGAUUGCCUUUGAAAGAUGAUUGGGUUAUGAUUUGCAAAAUUUGUGAAGGUGUUGUGAUUCUUUUAUGAUCUAACCAAUUGAGUUUUUGGGUCUUUAUGUGUGACAUCUAAUACUUUUUUGGAUGAAAGAAGUGAUGUUGAUGAUUUGUUGAACGAGUGGCUUAUGAGUGAUGAUGGUUAUUUGGUAGACAUGGCACGACAAAUGAAGUACAAACUUGAUAAGUACUGGGGAAAUGUUGAAAAGAUGAACAUGAUGUUAUAUGUUGCUUUUAUACUUGAUCCUCCUUAUAAGUUCUCCUAUCUCCAAUAUUUUUUAAGAAUAUGCAUGGGCCAAAAGUAGGAGAGAAAAUGGAAAUUUGGCCAAAUCUGCUUUGUAUGAUGUAUUUGAAGAAUACAAAAAAAAUAUAUUCUUCUACAACAUCACGCCCUUCUUCUACCACUUCAUCUGGUGAAUUAGGUCAGACUGAGGAUCAAGAUAUGAUAGUGAACAAAGGGCUAUUAGAGACAAGAGAAAGAAAUGAAAAUAAAUGAUGUUUGAGAUUGGAGGUAGGCAUAGGUUAGAAUUGAAUAGUUAUUUGAACGAGGAAAAAUUAAGACAGAUGAAUCUCCGAGCUUUAACAUCACUGAAUGGUGGAAAUUGCAUACGUCAAUAUUUCCCAUCUUAGCAAAAAUUGGCACGAGAUGUGUUAGCUAUGCCUAUAUCUAUCGUUGCAUCGGAGUCCGCUUUCAGUACCGGAGGUCGCAUAAUUGAUGAUUUUAGAGCUUUAUUGACUCCAAAGAUGGCACAAUCUCUAAUUUGUUGGCAAGAUUGGCUACGUCGCGCUCCAUUCAAACCAAUUGAAGAAGACUAUGACGCCAUUGACAAAAUUGUAAAAGAUGCUGGAUCAAAUAUUAACCCAGAGUCAACCAUCAUCGGGUUGUGAUGUUGUGUAUCGCGUAAGUCGUGCAAGUUGAAUAGUUAAUGAUCGAUGACUCAAUACUCAAUUGCGGAACUUUAAUUCGCUAUAUGUACUAUUUGGAAUCUUGGAUACUGAAUAUUGUAGUGGUGCACUUGUGACUUGUAAUAUUAAAUUUGAAUUU
Non-coding RNA from Sesamum indicum (sesame), 2432 nucleotides. NCBI's taxonomy places the organism in Eukaryota, Viridiplantae, Streptophyta, Magnoliopsida, Lamiales, Pedaliaceae. The record is from RefSeq and is a predicted model, not a curated record.